GGUACCGUCUGGCCAGAAGCGGCGGUAAUACGGAGGAUCAAAGAGUUAGCAGGAAGCAUUUGGUUUAAAGGUUCCGUAGGCGGCCUUAUAAGUCAGCGGUGAAAGUUUUUGGCUUAACCAAAAAAUUGCUAUUGAUACUGUAGGGCUUGAAUAUUUGUGAAGUAACUAGAAGAUGUAGUGUAGCGGUGAAAUGCUUAGAUAUUACAUGGAAUACCAAUUGCGAAGGCAGGUUACUAACAAAUGAUUGACGCUGAUGGACGAAAGCGUGGGUAGCGAACAGGAUUAGAUACCCUAGUAGUC
This 300-nucleotide ribosomal RNA is filed under the name uncultured bacterium. Its description in RNAcentral is "bacterial SSU rRNA". It matches the Rfam family "Bacterial small subunit ribosomal RNA", at positions 496 to 795 of the family's 1533-position model. The record is from RNAcentral.